Molecule: long non-coding RNA, 243 nt
Filed under: Citrus sinensis (sweet orange)
Lineage: Eukaryota; Viridiplantae; Streptophyta; Magnoliopsida; Sapindales; Rutaceae
Description: long non-coding RNA (CSIN_LNC005164)
Source: RNAcentral
AAUUACUUAUAAUUAAAAGAAAUAAAAACAACUAAAAUUGGAAAUAAAACUAAUUUUAUUAAUGAAAAUAAUUAUACAAAAUAUUAAAAACACACCUGGAAAUCAAGAUUACAAGGAGAUGGAGAGAAUUUGAGAAGAAGAGAGUUGUAGAGAGAUGAUUAAAACAUAAAAAUGAGGCCUUAUUUAUAGAAAAAUAAAUUCAUAAUCUAGUGCUUUGCGGUCCAUCAUAGGCUUCAUGCAUGU